This 762-nucleotide ribosomal RNA is filed under the name Triticum aestivum (bread wheat). RNAcentral's name for it is "partial small subunit ribosomal RNA". Lineage: Eukaryota; Viridiplantae; Streptophyta; Magnoliopsida; Poales; Poaceae. The record is from RNAcentral.
AUGGGGGACUUUGAUGGUGAGCAAAAAGAAUUGAUCAAGAAAUUGGUAAACAUUCGCAUGAUCGAUGAUAAUAUAAAGCCAAUAUGCGAAGAGGUCAAAGUAGGAGUCGCAGGGGAAUUUCACAUAAGAGAAGGGAGAAUCUUCAUGGACUGGCUUCCACCAAUCGGAGUAUCGCGCAUUUCAGAUGGUGGUAAAGUGAUACCACAUAAGGAGCUCUUCCUCAUUCAGUCAUACUCAACAAAAAGCAUACUCGGUAGAAAGGAGGUGGCAGAGCUGGGAAGAGGAUUAGACUUUAUUGAUUAUUUGGACUUAGAGACCAAUUAUAGAAAGAAGACAGUAGCUGAGAAAAAUCCUAAUGUUGGUAAAAUAUACGUGUUGAUCAAGGACAAUGAAGAAGCCAUGAAAAGAUUGAAGAACGAGGUAGAAGAUACUGAGUUGUUCAGAUGUUUACAGGAAAUCCAUGGGAAAAACUACCACAGCUUUGUAUUAAGCAAGCAGGUUCCAGUCGUUGGUAAUUUCAGGGAAGCCUACAUUGGCAUUGCUCCUGAGUUAGCCAAAGAGAUCGCGGAAGAAGUGGAUGUUAUCGUAAACUCUGCAGCAAAUACCACUUUUGAUGAGAGCAAGAAAAGUAUAGCAACUUGCAGGUAUGAUGUAGCACUAGACAUCAACACCGUGGGGCCAUUCCGGAUAAUGAGUUUCGCGCAACGGUUUCGAAGACUGAAGCUCUUAUUGCAAGUAUCAACAGGUCAGAAUGCCAAAUAA